RNAcentral lists this ribosomal RNA (253 nucleotides) under uncultured bacterium. RNAcentral's name for it is "partial 16S ribosomal RNA". It matches the Rfam family "Bacterial small subunit ribosomal RNA", at positions 524 to 776 of the family's 1533-position model. The record is from RNAcentral.
UACGGGGGGUGCAAGCGUUAAUCGGAAUUACUAGGCGUAAAGCGUGCGCAGGCGGUUAUAUAAGACAGAUGUGAAAUCCCCGGGCUCAACCUGGGACCUGCAUUUGUGACUGCAUCGCUAGAGUACGGUAGAGGGGGAUGGAAUUCCGCGUGUAGCAGUGAAAUGCGUAGAUAUGCGGAGGAACACCGAUGGCGAAGGCAAUCCCCUGGACCUGUACUGACGCUCAUGCACGAAAGCGUGGGUAGCAAACGGG